AACCAAGCAAAGGAAAAACUCCGUUCUGAGGUUGCAGGCGAGUGAGCUGCUGCUUGCAUUGUUCAGUGUGGUGCAGACCACCCAAGUGACCCGCUAGAGACAUUAUACAACCCGCAAAAUAAAACCUGCCUUCACAAUCCAGGGAAAGGAAAGGAGGAGAGAAGCCCUGUCUCGCCAGGCUGUGCUUACCCGUUGUCUCUGGGCAGUCGUGUGAGAGUGAGCCCAUCGAUGUGCACCCUCCUCCUCCUCCACUCCAGAUGCAGGAAGCGACUCGUGUAGAGCUCCAGCAGGAGGCUGUUGAACUCUCCGUCCCUGUCCGCCGGCACCAGGAACUGGUACACCUUCCCGGGGGUCACCAUGCAGGAAAGGGUUAAACCCCCACCCAGGAUUGAAAACAGUGAAUUUUAACUGUUGAGCCCAAACUGAGUUUCUACACCUGUGAUGGACUGGCCUCAAAGACCAGCUGCAAUGGAUCAACACGACACAACACAAUUCAAUUCACAUGUCUACUGCAGCUUUCAUCACAAGGAUACCAAAGUGCUUCACACACACUCAAAAAUUACAUUAAAACAGUCUAGUACAAAAUUUAAUAAAACAGAUAUUUUAAAAAAUAUAACAGUUAAAACUAUUUUUUUAAUAAAAUUGGAAUUAAAAAAGAAUAACAAGAAAAUGCCGUUUUGUAAAAAUUGGAAAACUAUUUCCCAGAAUGCUCUGCACCCCCCCCCCCCCCCCCUCUCCUCUCGGGAGCGACCCGCUGAGAAAAACACAGCGUCUGGCCUUUUAAAUUAAGAUUAAACACACAGAGGUAUCAUCCUGUAUUAUACCAUUUCUUGUUUUUUUUAUAAAUGAUCUACAUUACUUUUUAAAGAAAGAUUAAAAAGGCAUUUGUAUUAUUUGAAUGUACAUUUAUCCACAGCAUUGCAUUUGAAAUAUCUGAAUAUCUUGAAUUAAUAUCAUGAAUUCACGUUAAACAGGGACCAGAAUUGAGACCCCUUGCAACAAUACAGUGUUAAAAGUGUAUCCAGAUAUCCAAAUGUUGAAAGUACUGCAUUGUCAAAAGUCAAGCACAGAUGUCAGCCUACCUACAGUGCAGAGAUACUGAAUAUGAAUCGAUUCAGCCUUUUCCUUAUACAUUUAAAUGUAGCAAAUGUAAAAAAUAAACACAGAAAACACUCUGAAAGUGAAUCAUUUGCUACCUGCUGCAGCUCCAAG
Molecule: long non-coding RNA, 1212 nt
Organism: Acipenser ruthenus (sterlet)
Lineage: Eukaryota; Metazoa; Chordata; Actinopteri; Acipenseriformes; Acipenseridae
Exons: 3
Source: RefSeq, a predicted model, not a curated record